AACGGGAUUACCUCCGGUCAUCUUUUUCGACGUCUCCUCCUCCUUCCCCCACUAGAUCCUCGCCCGAUGCCUUCUUGCGAAGCAUCCACAUGGCGACCCACGGCAUCUGUGGCCAGAUCUCAAGCUCUGACCUCGCCUCCAGUUUCCCAGGCCCCACAUCCUCCGGCAAUGGCCGCUGGCAUGGAGCGGUCGGACAAUCGGCCUCCGAUGGAUUUCGCCAACACUAUCUCGGAAGAAUCUCGGUGGGGAGCGACCGGCGUGUUGGCCGGACCUCCCAAGCGGCAA
Molecule: long non-coding RNA, 285 nt
Filed under: Elaeis guineensis (African oil palm)
Lineage: Eukaryota; Viridiplantae; Streptophyta; Magnoliopsida; Arecales; Arecaceae
Description: long non-coding RNA (EGUI_LNC008478)
Source: RNAcentral